This is a long non-coding RNA of Diceros bicornis minor, 160 nucleotides long. RefSeq lists it as uncharacterized. The transcript is spliced from 2 exons. NCBI's taxonomy places the organism in Eukaryota, Metazoa, Chordata, Mammalia, Perissodactyla, Rhinocerotidae. The record is from RefSeq and is a predicted model, not a curated record.
UGUGGCUGUGAUGGAAAACUGUUUCUUUGGGGACAAGCCCUUUAUAUCAUCGCAAAACUCCUGGCUGAUGAAUUAAUCAGUCCUAAAGACAUUGAUCCUGUUCAGCGCUAUAUCCCACUACAGAAUCAACGUAACGUGAGCAUGAGGUUUUCCAAUCAGG